This is a non-coding RNA of Glycine soja, 110 nucleotides long. The record is from Rfam. NCBI's taxonomy places the organism in Eukaryota, Viridiplantae, Streptophyta, Magnoliopsida, Fabales, Fabaceae.
UUUUUAUUGAAUGUUAACUUUCGUGUGUCAUGUGUUUAUUGAACGUUAAUUCUAUACACCUAAUUAAUAUCAAAUUCUAAUAAACUCAUGACAUGUGAUAGUCAACGUCU